This 253-nucleotide ribosomal RNA is filed under the name uncultured bacterium. RNAcentral's name for it is "partial 16S ribosomal RNA". It matches the Rfam family "Bacterial small subunit ribosomal RNA", at positions 524 to 776 of the family's 1533-position model. The record is from RNAcentral.
UACGGGGGGGGCUAGCGUUGUUCGGAAUUACUGGGCGUAAAGGGCGCGUAGGCGGCCUACUAAGUCGGACGUGAAAUCCCUCGGCUCAACCGGGGAACUGCGUCCGAUACUGGUGGGCUCGAAUCCGGGAGAGGGAUGUGGAAUUCCAGGUGUAGCGGUGAAAUGCGUAGAUAUCUGGAGGAACACCGGUGGCGAAAGCGGCGUGCUGGACCUUUUCUGACGCUGAGGCGCGAAAGCUAGGGGAGCAAACGGG